Potamilus streckersoni is the source of this 74-nucleotide non-coding RNA. The record is from the annotation of a GenBank genome assembly. NCBI's taxonomy places the organism in Eukaryota, Metazoa, Mollusca, Bivalvia, Unionida, Unionidae.
GGCUCCGGUGGCCUGGUGGUUAGAGUGUCCGCCAUGGAUGCGUUUAGUCGUGGGUUCAAACCCCGACCGAGUCA